Long non-coding RNA from Populus trichocarpa (black cottonwood), 1899 nucleotides. RefSeq lists it as uncharacterized. Lineage: Eukaryota; Viridiplantae; Streptophyta; Magnoliopsida; Malpighiales; Salicaceae. The record is from RefSeq and is a predicted model, not a curated record. The transcript has 2 exons.
GUUUGAAGAAAACGAGGGUGCAACCUGUGACCGCAGCUUAAUUUUUCCACCGAAAUUUUGGUGAGAUGUUAAUUAUCAUCAAUUAUCAUCUACCUCGGCUAAAGUAGAGAGAGCUAUCAUCCAAGCCUGUAAACCACUCUGAUGAUCCUUCUCCGUUGUUGCUUCCCACUUGUCAGCAGGCUUCUUUGAUGUUCCACGUUUUAUUUAAACAAUUUAGUAAUUUGAAUUUACAAUCAUUGGUUGAAAGGCUGCUUCUGCCAUUUCCUUGAAAGUCCACACUGCCAAUUUGAAUCUUCUAUCCAAUCCCAUGCAUACAACCCAGGCACGUUACUAUAGCUCAAGAAGCAAGAGGUCCCAAUUCUUUCACGUGUUUUGCAAUUUGAAUGGCUUCCUCGGACCUCGGCCCUCUCAACUCUCAAGUCUUCUACACAAGCACAACAUGGUUGCAGAACAAUCUAUCGCACAAUUUGAAGAGAUACGCAUCAGGACCAGCAGCCGAAGACGGAAGCAGUUUGCUUGUCUUCUUUUGUUUCUUUCAAAGCAGCAACCUCUGAUAGAGGGCUUGAUCGAGGUGCUAUGCACGAUUCUAUUUCCAGGCAAACCAGCUCUUAUUCUCCUUUCUAAUUUACCUAGUUUACAAAGCUUGAGACCACAGCACAAUAUGGGACGCCAUCACUAACCAGUCGUGCCUCUUGCAUCUUCAGAAAAUGUUUGGCUUUGGGUGGCAAGUCAGCACCAGUCGAAUCAAUAUCUGGAUGAUUGGACUAGAGCUAAUUUGUUUGGAACUCCUCCUUGAUUCUCCAUGCUGUCAAACAACAGAGAUUCUGCCCCAACCCUUGAGAUUUAAUCACCAUAUUUAACCGGAGGAUACUCAGCUUCUUCCUCUCACGGCAGAUCAGAUUCAAAAACAUUCAACACUCCCCAUAAGCAUCAAGGUAGACAGAAUAGAACUCUGAACUCAUAUCCCUCGGAGAUGAAAUCUCCUGAAGACCUGAACCAUAGCCAUGACUUCUCAAACAUCAAAGGCUGAAAACAGGUCCAACUUUGGAACACUUGCCCAUAUAACAUCAAAUACAUAUGCUUGAAUUUGUUCUUUUGUGUUGCUGAACUUAUAAAAAGCAUCAGCAGCCUUUUCUGCGAGGGCUCGGUAUUGAACAGAAGCAACCACAGUAAGAAAAUCUUUGUCCUUAGUUUUGGUUUCACAAUGAACAUCCAGUUGUUUCACAAGUAAAGAGAGGCGACCGGCUAGCUGACAACCAAAACACCAAGGCAGAAAGUGCCAUCCAGGUUCCAGACAUCGUUAUAUUUUCGAAAGAUUUCCUUGAUGACAACAGUAUACUGAUCGACUUGAACGCAGCCAAGAACUUGUCCCAUAUUCUUUAUAGAAUCUUUUCUGAAACGGAAAGAAAAUUGAAAUGAACAGAGAAGAGCUCUAGACACAGAGAGGUACAGAUGUUUAUCAAUGUACGAACAAGCUAGAAGUGCAUACUAGGAUGUUGUUAACAUUGUUUGUUUCUGAAACUGAAACAGACUGUGUUGUGUGUCCACAAAUGGGGAGACGCAAGUUUUACAGCAAACACCCACGGAAAAGACGCGACUGCCUGCUAAAAAUAAUACUGCCUGCCAUUAUACAGUAACAUUCUCUAAUUGAAGGCAACAGAACCAUAAAUUUGAUGUGACGCUUUUGUUUUUUGUCUUAAAACAAUGGUUUUCAUGUUUGUGAAAAAGAAUUUUUCAUUGUUUGAUGUCACAACUCACCAUUAAUGUUCGGAAUGCAUUUUUCAAUAUUUUUGGUAAGGUUACCACUUGUGGUUCAUUGAUCUCAGUCGAUCAAUUUCAACUGUUGUAAUUAAGGUGAAGACAAUAGAUAUACCUGAAAGGCUUAAACUCUCCCUAAAA